Molecule: long non-coding RNA, 1110 nt
Filed under: Cyanistes caeruleus (blue tit)
Lineage: Eukaryota; Metazoa; Chordata; Aves; Passeriformes; Paridae
Description: lncRNA (ENSCCEG00000007952.1)
Source: RNAcentral
AAAAAAUUGCUCUGAAAUUAAAACAAGAGUGAAGUUGCAAACAAGAAUAACUAAGAAACAGGGGACAAUGACACCUUGAGGCUCUCAGUUAUUAGAGCAGAUUUCAGCAAGUGUCUUGGAAUGAUCUAGCUGUUUGUCUAGACUUUCUGAAACAGGUUAUUCAAGGGCACACACAAUCUUUGCCAGGACUAUGCUCUGCACUGUGGCUCUCAACCAGAGCUGCAGGGCCCUGUUCUCUUCCUGCCUGAGGUCCCUUAUCACCCCACACAGUAAAUAUGGGCCUCUUCGUUAUCUGUAUGUCAACUUCUACUCGUGCUCCACUCCUAAACAAAGCACUUGCAUCAAAACAGGAGACAACUGUAACAUUAUUGCAUUAUAUCAUUGCAUAAAGCACCAUGGUUGCAUCAAACUGCAGGGGAAAGAAUCUUCUGGGAGCAUUCUGCGAGUACUCAAGCGCACAACUCUCAUUGUACAAAGUCUGGGAAGGGAGGUUUCAGCAUCAGAAGGGAAAUCUCCCCAGUCCCUGCAGGCUUGGAGAGGACAAGAGAAGAGAUUGACUUUCAGAAAAGACAUCUCCUAUACAGAAGGCCAGAAAAGUGAGGAGCAUUGCCUGACAGCUGUCCUUGUAGCUGAGCACUCUGUAAGAGCAGGAACCUUUCUGCCAUGUGGAGAGAGAUGUUUUUCAUUUUGUGAAACUUCAGCAAGGCAUAGUGCAAAUAUCCACACUGAAAGGACAUACAUAUGCAAAAUGUAUCAUAGAGUGAGAAGUGUGAAAGAAAAAGAAGAAAAGUAAAAUGUAUCUUUUCAAUUAUGGGUAAAUAAUCAACAAUUUUAUGAAAUAUGUAGGUGGUGUUUGUGCAAUUCUCUGUGCCCUGUGUACCUGCAAACAUCAGAAUAUUGACUCCCAAAAGCACUGCUGUCCUAAAACAGUCUUUGUAAAUGACUAUAGAUAGAAACAUAUAGAAAUAUAUGAUAGAAAAUGAAAAUGGGUUUCUGAGAUCCGAUACCAAGUUCUGGGGACAGAACCACACAGGAGAUUGGAGUCAUGGCCAGAAUCCAAACACUUCAUUAUGUUGUGUCAUUUCCUAAAUAAAAGGCAGUUAAAAUGCA